CCUACGGGUGGCAGCAGUGAGGAAUAUUGGUCAAUGGACGAGAGUCUGAACCAGCCAAGUAGCGUGAAGGAUGACUGCCCUAUGGGUUGUAAACUUCUUUUAUAAAGGAAUAAAACGAUGCACGUGUGCCUUUCUUGAAUGUACUUUAUGAAUAGGGAUCGGUUAACUCCGGUCCAGCAGCCGCGGUAAUACGGAGGAUCGGAGCGUUAUCCGGAUUUUUUGGGUUUAAGGGGAGUGUAGCUGGGUUGUUAAGUCAGUUGUUAAAGUUUGCGGCUCAACCGUAAAAUUGCAAUUGAUAGUGGCAGUCUUGAGUACAGAUGAGGUAGGCGGAAUUCGUGGUGUAGCGGUGAAAUGCUUAGAUAUCACGAAGAACCCCGAUUGCGAAGGCAGCUUACUAAACUGUGACUGACAUUGAUGCUCGAAAGUGUGGGUAUCAAACAGGAUUAGAUACCCUAGUAGUC
Molecule: ribosomal RNA, 461 nt
Filed under: uncultured bacterium
Lineage: Bacteria
Description: partial 16S ribosomal RNA
Rfam family: Bacterial small subunit ribosomal RNA
Source: RNAcentral